RNAcentral lists this ribosomal RNA (375 nucleotides) under uncultured bacterium. Its description in RNAcentral is "bacterial SSU rRNA". It matches the Rfam family "Bacterial small subunit ribosomal RNA", at positions 28 to 402 of the family's 1533-position model. The record is from RNAcentral.
GACGAACGCUGGCGGCGUGCUUAACACAUGCAAGUCGAGCGGUAAGGCCCUUUCGGGGGUACGACGAGCGGCGAACGGGUGAGUAACACGUGGGUGACCUGCCCUUACGCUCUGGGAUAAGCCUGGGAAACUGGGUCUAAUACCGGAUAUGACUCCAUGACGCAUGUUGUGGGGUGGAAAGCCUUGUGCGGCUAGGGAUGGGCCCGCGGCCUAUCAGCUUGUUGGUGGGGUGAUGGCCUACCAAGGCGACGACGGGUAGCCGGCCUGAGAGGGCGACCGGCCACACUGGGACUGAGACACGGCCCAGACUCCUACAGGAGGCAGCAGUGGGGAAUCUUGCGCAAUGGGCGAAAGCCUGACGCAGCGACGCCGCGU